GGAGGCUAAAGUAAAUUCGGCCCAUUUAAGUGUUCAGGCCCAUUUAAGACUUUUAGGUGCUGACGUGGGCUGCGCGUCGUGACCCAAUGGAACGGGCUGGCUUGCAACUCCGUCUCCUCGCGCUUCCUCCCGACGGCGUCCCGUCCUGGAUGCCCCGAGGUGGCCGUUCGCCAUUGACAGGAGUACGAGGAGCUACGUGCAUGGGGGUGAGUAUGUCGAUCGUUGUUUCCGAGGAGAUUGGAUAUCGUCGGAGUAAGUACUCCUUCCAAUCUUCUUCUUUUUCUCUCUUUUUUUCUUCCCGAAAGAAACAUGCUUUGGAUCUCUAGUUACUUUCUUGAUUUCAUCGGAUCAAAUUUGGAUUCUGUUGAAUAAACACAAGGCGAAUAGGUUUCUCUAAACGAUCGAUCGAUGCACGAAGCUUCAGAUUCAGAGUGGGCGGGCAAUCCGGUCAAUAGGUUGGUACAGGUUCAGACUUCAGAUUUCUUACCAGCGAACAGUGGGCUGGUUGGAGGCUUGCAGCAAGCUCAAUCAGCCGGUGAGUCCGUGACUCCGUGUUGGUGACUUGGACGAAAGAAGAUGUUCGACCUCAAGCAUGCCGCUGUCGAUAGCCGACAUGGCACGGGGAGCUCGCUCCACAGCCGCAGGCGAGAAGAUAAGAAGCCCAAUUUGCAUGGAUGAUUAAGUUCCAGCUACUGAGCAAGAUAAGUCAGCAUGUCAUUUAUCAAGACGGCAACAGGGAGAAGAGGACGUAUAUUGUACUGGACUUCCGGGGACGUACGACGAAUGUUAAGAUGCCUCAACAUCUCGUCCUUUGUCCUGUAUGACUGGAUUUGUAUGUCAGCUAUCAGCAUAAGCGGUCAAUCCACGGCACGGCGAUUUGAGAAACGAAGCACGCGGAUGUAAUGCAAUGUUAUUUUCGAAGUGUUUUUAAACCCUUGGCCAUGGGGCCUGGCACAACCACACACGAGAAAAGACUCGUAUAUACUCUAUUUUAGGAGGCAAAUCUCCGGGGGGGAAGAAAAUCUGCCAUCUAGCUUGAUCGCUCCAAGAAAGGUCAUAACAGAGAUACCAAGCCCUUACAUAACAAAACAUACCAUGGUUGUUCCAUCGGCAUUGCUGCUGCCGCUGCCGCUGCUAUUGCUGUGUUACGGAUUUGGAAACAUCCAUUGCUCACCAGUUCAUAGGAGCAGCAUCGAUCUCCACUCGCUGCUCGACUUCAAGCAGGGCAUCUCUAGUGAUCCAAAUGAAGCCUUGAAGUCCUGGAACACCAGCACCCACUACUGUAAGUGGACGGGCGUCAUGUGCACCCAAACGCGACCAUGGCGCGUCUCAGGGCUUAACCUCACUGGUCUAAGCUUGGGUGGCCAAAUUAGCUCCUCUCUCGGAAACCUGACCUUCCUUAAUUAUCUGGACCUCUCCUAUAAUAAUUUCUUUGGCCCGUUGCCUCUUCUUAACCGGCUCCAACAACUGAAAAACCUUAUCCUAGGAAGCAACAGUUUGCACGGGGCUAUUCCAGUCUCACUUACAAAUUCUUCCAGCUUGUCAUACCUGGACCUCUCCACAAACCUUCUAGUUGGUGCGAUUCCUGCGAACAUAAGCUUACUUUCGAACCUAGAGUAUUUGGAUCUUGAUCAGAACAAUCUCACCGGGACCGUCCUGCAAACCAUAGGAGACAUUACGUCAUUAGAAAUACUUUAUCUUUUUCAAAAUCAACUAAGUGGAAGCAUUCCCGAUAAGAUUUGGCAAUUGCCGAAUCUUAUGCAAUUGGUGCUCGGUGAAAAUAAUUUGUCAGGUGGAAUACCACAAACCCUCCAUAAUAUAUCUUCUCUACAAAGAUUAGGUUUGGAGUA
Molecule: long non-coding RNA, 1850 nt
Organism: Oryza sativa Japonica Group (Japanese rice)
Lineage: Eukaryota; Viridiplantae; Streptophyta; Magnoliopsida; Poales; Poaceae
Source: RefSeq, a predicted model, not a curated record